RNAcentral lists this long non-coding RNA (434 nucleotides) under Homo sapiens (human). RNAcentral describes it as "non-protein coding lnc-IRGM-2:1". The record is from RNAcentral. Lineage: Eukaryota; Metazoa; Chordata; Mammalia; Primates; Hominidae.
CUGAGGGCCUCAGAGGGGAUGCUUGGAGAAGCUGAAAAAUCCACAAGCUGUUCUCUGAAAUUUCCUCCCCUGGGGCAGCCUCACUACCCAGGACCCACUGUCCUCAUUAGCCUGAGGAAACCUGGUAGUUGGAGAAAGCUGGGGACUGCUAAUUCAGAAGAAGAGGUAGAAUUCUCUAGAGCCUCAGUCUAUUUCCAGCAGGUGUGUGGCCCACACCUGGAGUGGGGAUACUGAGGCCAGGAGUGGGAUGACCCAGCAUGCUUAUCUCCUUUGACAGUAUGUACUGGGGUGGGCUCUGUAGACCUCUCCUCUACCCAGGGAGUGGGAGUGGGUGGGGAAGGAGGCAGAAGCCAGGUGUAGGGAUAGACUCAAAGCGAGCGAUUUCUGUCUCCAACUUCCCAACAUGCAUAACUCACAUUUUUGCAAGCUCUGAG